Felis catus (domestic cat) is the source of this 323-nucleotide long non-coding RNA. RefSeq lists it as uncharacterized. The transcript has 2 exons. The record is from RefSeq and is a predicted model, not a curated record. Lineage: Eukaryota; Metazoa; Chordata; Mammalia; Carnivora; Felidae.
CCCCGGAACCUCCAAGGCUGAGCUGACGCCGCAGCGGCCGCGUCACGUCCCACGAGCUCAGCUCCGUCGGGGACAGCCUGAGCAGCGCGCGAUGCAGGCGGAAGGAUGCGGGGAGCCCCUUCGUCAGGGUCAAAGGCUCCAGAUGUUGAAAACCAAAGGAAGCAGAGGAGAAAGAGCCAGGAGGUACAACCUUAGGCAAGUCAUUCCCCUUCAUCCCACGUCUGUUUCUUCAUCCGGAAAACAAGAACUGAGACUUUCACUGGAGAGAAAUUCAAAUGGGGCAUAAACGACAGGGCCAGACCCAUAGGAGGUCGUGUGAUGGA